AUGCGCCGCGUUUUUCCAGGAACAAAUCGAUGGAACGGGGCGGCGAGCGCAGAGCAGGAGGCGCAGCCCCGGGGCCGCCCGGGUGAGACCCCCAAGCCCUCCCGGAGGAGGGAGCCCGGCGGCGCAGGACGAGAACCUGCCCCGCGGCUGCGGCUCGGCGCGCCCCGCAAAGAUGAGUUUGGAGGAGCGAGUGCGCCGCGGACAACCUGGACGAGCGGGGAGAGGCUGGGGCUCCCCCCGGGGCUGGGGGAGCAGCACCCCCGGCGCGGUGGCCCCUCACGGUCGCCCCUCACGGCGGCGCCGGGCCCGGCCCGGGGCCCGCUCCGCUCCGCGGCGGGGCCGGGGGGAGCCUCUCCGGGCCGAGGCGGAGCAAACCCGGCUAAUGAUGUGCAGACGUGACUCCGCCGCCUUUCCCCCACUCCAUCGGAAGAGCAUAAAGGCCAAUAAAUUACCUCCGCUGCUUAUCUGAAAAUCCAUCUAUCCUGUCGCUAUUUUUUUUUUCCCUCCGCUGGAGGAGAUCGCGUUUGUGCAACACGCCGAAGCCGCCCCUCGAAGGCGGGCUGUGGGGCAGCGCCCUCCGGCCCCCCCGGGAGGCUUCGGAGCCCGGCUCGGCCCCUCCCCGCCCCAAAUCCUGCCGAAACCAGCUGCUUGUGGGGGCAGCCCCGGCUGAGCUCUGUGUCCCCCCCUCCCCCGGGCAGUGCGGAGCCGAGCGGGGGCUGGCGGGGAGGGUCCUCCCCUGCGCCGCCGUCCCCGGGCUUCCCCCGGGCGAAAGCAAUAAAGCGGGUAAUUAGACUGCUAAAGACGGAUGUAAAUAACGGGGAGGAGGCGGCAGUGACAGGCGUG
This 843-nucleotide long non-coding RNA is filed under the name Corvus moneduloides (New Caledonian crow). RNAcentral describes it as "lncRNA (ENSCMUG00000018446.1)". The record is from RNAcentral. Lineage: Eukaryota; Metazoa; Chordata; Aves; Passeriformes; Corvidae.